GCCUAGUGGUUAGAGUGUAGAGGUGGCAGGUAGCCUAGUGUUUAGAGUGUAGAGGUGGCAGGGUAGCCUAGUGGUUAGAGUGUAGAGGUGGCAGGGUAGCCUAGUGGUUAGAGUGUAGGGGCGGCAGGGUAGCCUAGUGGUUAGAGUGUAGAGGUGGCAGGGUAGCCUAGUGGUUAGAGUGUAGAGGUGGCAGGGUAGCCUAGUGGUUAGAGUGUAGAGGUGGCAGGGUAGCCUAGUGGUUAGAGUGUAGAGGUGGCAGGGUAGCCUAGUGGUUAGAGUGUAGAGGUGGCAGGGUAGCCUAGUGGUUAGAGCGUUGGACUAGUAACCGGAAGGUUGCAAGUUCAAAUCCCCGAGCUGACAAGGUACUAAUCUGUCGUUCUGCCCCUGAACAGGCAGUUAACCCACUGUUCCCAGGCCGUCAUUGAAAAUAAGAAUUUGUUCUUAACUGACUUGCCUU
Molecule: long non-coding RNA, 457 nt
Organism: Oncorhynchus keta (chum salmon)
Lineage: Eukaryota; Metazoa; Chordata; Actinopteri; Salmoniformes; Salmonidae
Exons: 3
Source: RefSeq, a predicted model, not a curated record